RNAcentral lists this ribosomal RNA (443 nucleotides) under uncultured bacterium. Its description in RNAcentral is "partial 16S ribosomal RNA". It matches the Rfam family "Bacterial small subunit ribosomal RNA", at positions 338 to 795 of the family's 1533-position model. The record is from RNAcentral.
CCUACGGGGUGCUGCAGUGGGGAAUAUUGGGCAAUGGGCGCAAGCCUGACCCAGCAACGCCGCGUGAAGGAAGAAGGCUUUCGGGUUGUAAACUUCUUUUGUCAGGGACGAAGCAAGUGACGGUACCUGACGAAUAAGCCACGGCUAACUACGUGCCAGCAGCCGCGGUAAUACGUAGGUGGCAAGCGUUAUCCGGAUUUACUGGGUGUAAAGGGCGUGUAGACGGGAAGUCAAGUUGGUUGUGAAAUCCCUCGGCUUAACUGAGGAACUGCAACCAAAACUAACUUUCUUGAGUGCUGGAGAGGAAAGUGGAAUUCCUAGUGUAGCGGUGAAAUGCGUAGAUAUUAGGAGGAACACCAGUGGCGAAGGCGACUUUCUGGACAGUAACUGACGUUGAGGCACGAAAGUGUGGGGAGCAAACAGGAUUAGAUACCCCUGUAGUC